Long non-coding RNA from Sebastes umbrosus (honeycomb rockfish), 132 nucleotides. RefSeq lists it as uncharacterized. The transcript has 3 exons. The record is from RefSeq and is a predicted model, not a curated record. NCBI's taxonomy places the organism in Eukaryota, Metazoa, Chordata, Actinopteri, Perciformes, Sebastidae.
UGUCAAAGUUAACGUGAUAAAAACGCAUUAACGCAAAUUUGUUUUAACCCCACUAAUUUCUUUAGCGCAUCAAUGCAAACGAUCUUCUGGAGGUUGUACCAGGCUCAGAUUUAAAGAUAGAGUGAAGACAAC